UUAGACCGAUUCAAAGAACCACCUGCUUAUGGGCCUAUGUGUGACAUCUUGUGGUCAGACCCCCUGGAGGACUUUGGAAAUGAGAAGACUCAGGAACAUUUCACUCACAACACAGUCAGGGGUUGUUCGUACUUCUACAGGUGAGGACCCUGCCUCCUGGAGUGCCUGCCUUACAGUAUUGGAGUUUAAAACGUGAUUCCUGAAUUAAUAGAUGUACUGUAUGUACGCCUGCAUGUAAAUGCACCCAUAUAUAAUUUUUGUGAACAGUAAGAAAGGGAUGAAAGAGCUGGUACUGAGAGAGGGGAUGGCUGCGAUUGAUAAAAUGUACUAGAAAUUGUCUCUAUUGCAUGAACUGUGGGAGCUUCAUUACUAAGCAAGCCUUUUUUUCAUCCAUGAAUGGACUCGUGCUCUACCAGUUCUUAUAACUACAUCAGAAAACUAACUUCUCCUUGCUUGACUAAGUCAGACUCAGUUCAUUCUUACAUAGUUUCAAGGGCUUGGGGCUUCCUGGAGGGGUGAGAACCCUCAGUUAUAGAGUUCCCAGGUAACCCAGCAGAUACACCCUUAGCCCUUUGAUAAGCCACAAUGAAAACGUCUUGAUAAAGCUUUUACAUUUGCAAAUUUAAGAACUUAAUUUAAUAAAGGAAUCCAGAGCA
This 656-nucleotide long non-coding RNA is filed under the name Rattus norvegicus (Norway rat). RNAcentral describes it as "long non-coding RNA NONRATT015800". The record is from RNAcentral. Lineage: Eukaryota; Metazoa; Chordata; Mammalia; Rodentia; Muridae.